GACCUCGAGGCUGACGUUGCUGGAAUUCAGGCACUGUGCAGCACACGGAAGGCAGAGGAUGGGGGGGGAGCAGUGGAUCUGAUUUGAAGCAUUAUCCUGUCACACACACGGAACACCACACAUAAAGCUUCAUCAAGGCCGUGGGACUUGCUCUAGAUUUGCAAGUCCAAGCUGAUGCUGUGCCCUGAAGCAAGUUUGUCGUGUUUGAACCUGCAGCGAGUUUUGGAGACCAGAGAAAAGCAGCUGCAGGAUGACACUGUCCCGACAGCACUGCUCGGUGAGAUCUGCAGGCAUCAGUGCAGCCACGAAAGCCACCAGGCUGCUUGCCAACCCGGCCCAGAGCCGAGCACAGCCGGCUGAGCUGGCGAAAGUGAUGGUGGGCGAGGGCCUCACACCGCCUCAGUCCUCAGGCCCGGGCAGAGACGGGAGCUGCG
Long non-coding RNA from Fukomys damarensis (Damara mole-rat), 434 nucleotides. RefSeq lists it as uncharacterized. Lineage: Eukaryota; Metazoa; Chordata; Mammalia; Rodentia; Bathyergidae. The record is from RefSeq and is a predicted model, not a curated record. The transcript is spliced from 3 exons.